RNAcentral lists this ribosomal RNA (433 nucleotides) under uncultured bacterium. RNAcentral's name for it is "partial 16S ribosomal RNA". It matches the Rfam family "Bacterial small subunit ribosomal RNA", at positions 29 to 507 of the family's 1533-position model. The record is from RNAcentral.
AACGAACGCUGGCGGCAUGCCUAACACAUGCAAGUCGAACGAGACCUUCGGGUCUAGUGGCGCACGGGUGCGUAACGCGUGGGAACCUGCCCUUAGGUUCGGAAUAACUCCCCGAAAGGGGUGCUAAUACCGGAUAAUGUCUUCCGACCAAAGAUUUAUCGCCGUUGGAUGGGCCCGCGUUGGAUUAGCUAGUUGGUAGGGUAAAAGCCUACCAAGGCGACGAUCCAGAGCUGGUCUGAGAGGAGGAUCAGCCACGCUGGGACUGAGACACGGCCCAGAAUCCUACGGGAGGGAGGAGUGGGGAAUAUUGGACAAGGGGCGAAAGUCUGAUCCAGCAAUGCCGCGUGAGUGAUGAAGGCCGUAGGGUUGUAAAGCUCUUUUACCCGGGAUGAUAAUGACAGUACCGGGAGAAUAAGCUCCGGCUAACUACGUG